AAUAGAUACCCGGGUAGUCCACGCCGUAAACGAUGAGUGCUAAGUGUUAGGGGGUUUCCGCCCCUUAGUGCUGCAGCUAACGCAUUAAGCACUCCGCCUGGGGAGUACGGUCGCAAGACUGAAACUCAAAGGAAUUGACGGGGGCCCGCACAAGCGGUGGAGCAUGUGGUUUAAUUCGAAGCAACGCGGAGAACCUUACCAGGUCUUGACAUCCCAUUGACCGCUAUGGAGACAUAGCUUUCCCUUCGGGGACAGUGGUGACAGGUGGUGCAUGGUUGUCGUCAGCUCGUGUCGUGAGAUGUUGGGUUAAGUCCCGCAACGAGCGCAACCCUUGUUCUUAGUUGCCAUCAUUUAGUUGGGCACUCUAAGGAGACUGCCGGUGACAACCGGAGGAAGGUGGGGAUGACGUCAAAUCAUCAUGCCCCUUAUGACCUGGGCUACACACGUGCUACAAUGGACGGUACAAACGGUUGCCAACCCGGCGAGGGGGAGCUAAUCCGGAUAAAACCGUUCUCAGUUCGGAUUGUAGGCUGCAACUCGCCUAC
This 545-nucleotide ribosomal RNA is filed under the name uncultured bacterium. RNAcentral describes it as "bacterial SSU rRNA". It matches the Rfam family "Bacterial small subunit ribosomal RNA", at positions 777 to 1319 of the family's 1533-position model. The record is from RNAcentral.